AUACGGAAGGUCCGGGCGUUAUCCGGAUUUAUUGGGUUUAAAGGGAGCGCAGGCGGGGAGCUAAGCGUGACGUGAAAUGUAACCGCUCAACGGCUGAACUGCGUCGCGAACUGGCUUUCUUGAGGGAGUACGACGUCAGCGGAAUUCGUGGAGUAGCGGUGAAAUGCUUAGAUAUCACGAAGAACCCCGAUUGCGAAGGCAGCUGACGAGUCCUUUACUGACGCUAAAGCUCGAAGGUGCGGGUAUCGAACAGGAUUAGAUACCCUGGUAGUCCGCACGGUAAACGAUGGAUGCCCGCUGUCGGCGAUAUAUUGUCGGCGGCCAAGCGAAAGCGUUAAGCAUCCCACCUGGGGAGUACGCCGGCAACGGUGAAACUCAAAGGAAUUGGCGGGG
This 393-nucleotide ribosomal RNA is filed under the name uncultured bacterium. RNAcentral describes it as "partial 16S ribosomal RNA". It matches the Rfam family "Bacterial small subunit ribosomal RNA", at positions 523 to 918 of the family's 1533-position model. The record is from RNAcentral.